RNAcentral lists this ribosomal RNA (468 nucleotides) under uncultured bacterium. RNAcentral's name for it is "partial 16S ribosomal RNA". It matches the Rfam family "Bacterial small subunit ribosomal RNA", at positions 28 to 507 of the family's 1533-position model. The record is from RNAcentral.
GACGAACGCUGGCGGUGUGCUUAACACAUGCAAGUCGAACGGUAAGGCCCUUUCGGGGGUACACGAGUGGCGAACGGGUGAGUAACACGUGAGUAACCUGCCCUCAUCUCUGGGAUAACAGUCGGAAACGGUUGCUAAUACUGGAUAUGAGCUUGCAAGGCAUCUUGUGGGUUGGAAAGAUUUUUUUUGGUUGGGGAUGGACUCGCGGCCUAUCAGCUUGUUGGUGAGGUAGUGGCUCACCAAGGCUUCGACGGGUAGCCGGCCUGAGAGGGCGACCGGCCACAUUGGGACUGAGAUACGGCCCAAACUCCUACGGGAGGUAGCAGUGGGGAAUAUUGCACAAUGGACGGAAGUCUGAUGCAGCAACGCCGCGUGCGGGAUGACGGCCUUCGGGUUGUAAACCGCUUUCAAUUGUGACGAAGCUUUUUUGUGACGGUAGCAGUAGAAGAAGCACCGGCUAACUACGUG